UACAGAGGAGAUGGAGAGAUUCAGGGAGGAGCUGAGCUGUUACUGAACUAUAGAAGAGAGAGGAACUUCCAUAUUCAGCAGAGUUCAAUACACAAACCACAAACAUUACCUUCAUUCAACAUGCUGUCAUUAGACUAUUAUGGACUGUCUCUGCUGAUUCUCACUACUCUGACAGGCAUCAACUGUGAAGAUCUGACUCCAGUCAACAAUGAAGAGUUCAGCUCAGAAGGCAGCUCUGUUACUCUGUCCUACACAUACCCCACACUGACAACUGGUGAUUAUUUCUUCUGGUAUAGACAAUAUCCAGGAAAAAAACCAGAGUUCCUCAUCUCUCACUCUGCUUCAGGACAAAUACUGAACAGUCCAUUCCCUGGACUGAAGAUUAAAGUGGAGGAAAAGCAAAUCAACAUGACCAUCUCCUCUGCUGCAGUGACAGACUCUGCUGUGUACUACUGUGCUGUGAGGCCCACAGUGACAGGAAACACCAUCACUCUGUACAAAAACACAAGCUGACACACUGACAAGCUGCUGGAAGCCUUUUUUCCACACUCUUCAACACAGCUUUUUACCUCCACUAGAGGGCCACAUUAUCAAGUAGG
Lates calcarifer (barramundi perch) is the source of this 599-nucleotide non-coding RNA. The record is from the annotation of a RefSeq genome assembly. NCBI's taxonomy places the organism in Eukaryota, Metazoa, Chordata, Actinopteri, Centropomidae.